Molecule: long non-coding RNA, 380 nt
Organism: Manduca sexta (tobacco hornworm)
Lineage: Eukaryota; Metazoa; Arthropoda; Insecta; Lepidoptera; Sphingidae
Exons: 4
Source: RefSeq, a predicted model, not a curated record
CCUAUUAAACAUCUAGAAGAAUCACAGAACUCUCACAGGCUUGCUCUGAGUGUGCCCCGCGCGCGCCGCCGCCGGGCGAGAGUGUUGGCACAGCAUCCAGUGUGCACCCGCUCUCCGACACCAUAACGUCCUGUGUGAACCUCACCAACAGUGUUUACGUUUGGACAUGAACAAAUAAGCGCCAUGGCCAGCGAGAGCAGCGAGACGAGCAGUGUGGUGGACGCGAAGACUUGCGGCAUGCUGGUGCUGGUCUACUGGCUCUGCUGCUGCAUGUGGUACGAAGAUAAGUCCGAAAACACGAGUCGGCAUCCGAGCAGAGCUGAAAUAACCCACGAUAACGGCGGUCGGCGACGCUCCAGCGAGUUCUUCAGCCGCCGCAU